This 887-nucleotide ribosomal RNA is filed under the name Acinetobacter sp. LBEF. RNAcentral describes it as "bacterial SSU rRNA". It matches the Rfam family "Bacterial small subunit ribosomal RNA", at positions 28 to 908 of the family's 1533-position model. Lineage: Bacteria; Pseudomonadati; Pseudomonadota; Gammaproteobacteria; Moraxellales; Moraxellaceae. The record is from RNAcentral.
AUUGAACGCUGGCGGCAGGCUUAACACAUGCAAGUCGAGCGGAGAGAGGUAGCUUGCUACUGAUCUUAGCGGCGGACGGGUGAGUAAUGCUUAGGAAUCUGCCUAUUAGUGGGGGACAACAUUUCGAAAGGAAUGCUAAUACCGCAUACGUCCUACGGGAGAAAGCAGGGGAUCUUCGGACCUUGCGCUAAUAGAUGAGCCUAAGUCGGAUUAGCUAGUUGGUGGGGUAAAGGCCUACCAAGGCGACGAUCUGUAGCGGGUCUGAGAGGAUGAUCCGCCACACUGGGACUGAGACACGGCCCAGACUCCUACGGGAGGCAGCAGUGGGGAAUAUUGGACAAUGGGCGCAAGCCUGAUCCAGCCAUGCCGCGUGUGUGAAGAAGGCCUUAUGGUUGUAAAGCACUUUAAGCGAGGAGGAGGCUACUUUAGUUAAUACCUAGAGAUAGUGGACGUUACUCGCAGAAUAAGCACCGGCUAACUCUGUGCCAGCAGCCGCGGUAAUACAGAGGGUGCAAGCGUUAAUCGGAUUUACUGGGCGUAAAGCGCGCGUAGGCGGCUAAUUAAGUCAAAUGUGAAAUCCCCGAGCUUAACUUGGGAAUUGCAUUCGAUACUGGUUAGCUAGAGUGUGGGAGAGGAUGGUAGAAUUCCAGGUGUAGCGGUGAAAUGCGUAGAGAUCUGGAGGAAUACCGAUGGCGAAGGCAGCCAUCUGGCCUAACACUGACGCUGAGGUGCGAAAGCAUGGGGAGCAAACAGGAUUAGAUACCCUGGUAGUCCAUGCCGUAAACGAUGUCUACUAGCCGUUGGGGCCUUUGAGGCUUUAGUGGCGCAGCUAACGCGAUAAGUAGACCGCCUGGGGGAGUACGGUCGCAAGACUAAAACUCAAAUGA